Molecule: long non-coding RNA, 571 nt
Filed under: Felis catus (domestic cat)
Lineage: Eukaryota; Metazoa; Chordata; Mammalia; Carnivora; Felidae
Description: lncRNA (ENSFCAG00000052243.1)
Source: RNAcentral
AGCACACGGCCAGCGGCUUUCCUCCAGCCCGGCACUUUGUGACAUAGACUUCAAAUGUGGCGCCUCUCUUGUCCUGCCCCACCCCGACGCGUCCAGGUGAGUGGCUGGCCUCCAGCCUUUUGCUCUUUCAGCCACCAUGGCCACCUCAGAGGUCUCGGGGGUGCCUGGCAGAGGAUCAGUAAAAUCCCCCCUCACCCUCAAAACAAGCUGUCUCUUAGCAUUGGGGAUCAUCUCCCAUUCCCCGGGGGAAGUCAUGCCCAGAUGGAACGGCACCCCGCCUUCUCCAGGGCGGCCCAGGUCUGGCAGAGGGGGCCCGAGUGUCAACUGGGAGUCAGGAAGCCGCUGGGGAGAGCCAGGUGGGAUGGGGGCACCUAGGAUGGGUGGGGUCCAGCUGGAGAGAGAAGCAGAUGUGAGGGAAGUCCCAGGGAGUGAGGCUUCUGCUCCAGAGGAUGGGCCAAGGGGUGGCAUCCAGGGGACACCAAGACCCCAAGGGACACCUGGUCCCUGGGCUUCUGCUGGGCCCCACCAGGGUUGCAUCCUCAGCCCUAGGGAGCAGAGAGACGUCUUCUAG